CCCCAGACUCCUACGGGAGGCAGCAGUGAGGAAUAUUGGUCAAUGGGCUUACGCCUGAACCAGCCAAGUCGCGUGAGGGAAGACUGCCCUAUGGGUUGUAAACCUCUUUUGCCAGGGAGCAAUUGGCGCUACGUGUAGCGUUAUCGAGAGUACCUGAAGAAAAAGCAUCGGCUAACUCCGUGCCAGCAGCCGCGGUAAUACGGAGGAUGCGAGCGUUAUCCGGAUUUAUUGGGUUUAAAGGGUGCGCAGGCGGAGAGUGAAGUGAGGGGUAAAAUUUGGGGGCAAACCCCCGACGAGCCGUUGAAACUGGCUUGCUAGAGUGGGCGAGAAGUAUGCGGAAUGCGUGGUGUAGCGGUGAAAUGCAUAGAUAUCACGCAGAACUCCGAUUGCGAAGGCAGCAUACCAGCGCCCAACUGACGCUCAGGCACGAAAGCGUGGGUAUCGAACAGGAUUAGAUACCCGUGUA
RNAcentral lists this ribosomal RNA (466 nucleotides) under uncultured bacterium. Its description in RNAcentral is "bacterial SSU rRNA". It matches the Rfam family "Bacterial small subunit ribosomal RNA", at positions 329 to 792 of the family's 1533-position model. The record is from RNAcentral.